GACGAACGCUGGCGGCGUGCUUAACACAUGCAAGUCGAGCGGAAAGGCCCUGCUUUUGUGGGGUGUUCGAGUGGCGAACGGGUGAGUAACACGUGAGUAACCUGCCCUUGACUUUGGGAUAACUUCAGGAGACUGGGGCUAAUACCGGAUAGGAGAUCCUGCUGCAUGGUGGGGGUUGGAAAGUUUCGGCGGUUGGGGAUGGACUCGUGGUUUAUCAGCUUGUUGGUGGGGUAGUGGCUUACCAAGGCUUCGACGGGUAGCCGGCCUGCGAGGGUGACCGGCCACAAUGGGACUGAGAGACGGCCCAGAGGCCUACGGGAGCCAGCAGUGGAGAAUAUGGCACAAUGGGCGGAAGCCUGAUACAGCAACGCCGGGUGCGGAAUGACGGCCUUCGGGGUGGAAACCGCUUUCGCCUGUGACGAAGCGUGAGUGACGGUAAUGAGUAAAGAAGCACCGGCUAACUACGUG
This 468-nucleotide ribosomal RNA is filed under the name uncultured bacterium. RNAcentral's name for it is "partial 16S ribosomal RNA". It matches the Rfam family "Bacterial small subunit ribosomal RNA", at positions 28 to 507 of the family's 1533-position model. The record is from RNAcentral.